RNAcentral lists this transfer RNA (31 nucleotides) under Bambusa multiplex (hedge bamboo). RNAcentral describes it as "partial tRNA-Phe". Lineage: Eukaryota; Viridiplantae; Streptophyta; Magnoliopsida; Poales; Poaceae. The record is from RNAcentral. RNAcentral also lists the same sequence under 51 other names.
ACUCUACUAGGAUGAUGCACAAGAAAAGGUC